AAGUCGUAACAAGGUUUCCGUAGGUGAACCUGCGGAAGGAUCAUUACCGAGUUCUCGGGCUUCGGCUCGAAUCUCCCACCCUUUGUGAACAUACCUCUGUUGCUUUGGCGGCUCUUGCCGCGAGGGGGCCCUCAAAGGCCCUCCCGCGCGCUCUCCGCCAGAGGACCUUCAAACUCCAGUCAGUGAACGUCGACGUCUGAUACACAAGUUAAUAAACUAAAACUUUCAACAACGGAUCUCUUGGUUCUG
RNAcentral lists this unclassified non-coding RNA (249 nucleotides) under air metagenome. RNAcentral describes it as "partial contains small subunit ribosomal RNA, internal transcribed spacer 1, and 5.8S ribosomal RNA". The stretch from base 1 to 46 matches the Rfam family "Eukaryotic small subunit ribosomal RNA", at positions 1786 to 1831 of the family's 1831-position model. The record is from RNAcentral.